GAUGAACGCUGGCGGCGUGCCUAACACAUGCAAGUCGAACGGGGUUAAGGGAAAUUUUCGGAUGGAACUUAACUUAGUGGCGGACGGGUGAGUAACGCGUGGAUAACCUGCCUCACACUGGGGGAUAGCAGCUGGAAACGGCUGGUAAUACCGCAUAAGACCACAGCACCGCAUGGUGCAGGGGUAAAAGAUUUAUCGGUGUGAGAUGGAUCCGCGUCUGAUUAGCCAGUUGGCGGUGUAAUGGACCACCAAGGCGACGAUCAGUAGCUGGUUUGAGAGGAUGAUCAGCCACAAUGGGACUGAGACACGGCCCAUACUCC
Molecule: ribosomal RNA, 320 nt
Filed under: uncultured Lachnospiraceae bacterium
Lineage: Bacteria; Bacillati; Bacillota; Clostridia; Lachnospirales; Lachnospiraceae
Description: bacterial SSU rRNA
Rfam family: Bacterial small subunit ribosomal RNA
Source: RNAcentral